AACGAAUGCUGGCGGCAGGCCUAAAACAUGCAAGUCGAACGCUGUAGCAAUACAGAGUGGCGCACGGGUGAGUAACACGUGGGAAUGUGCCUUUUGGUACGGAACAACUUUUGGAAACGAAAGCUAAUACCGUAUGGUCCCUUCGGGGUAAAGAUUUAUCGCCAAAAGAGCAGCCCGCGUCUGAUUAGCUAGUUGGUGAGGUAAUGGCUCACCAAGGCGACGAUCAGUAGCUGGUCUGAGAGGACGAUCAGCCACACUGGGACUGAGACACGGCCCAGACUCCUACGGGGGGCAGCAGUUAGGAAUAUUGGACAAUGGGCGCAAGCGUGAUCCAGCCAUGCCGCGUGAGUGAUGAAGGCCUUCGGGUUGUAAAGCUCUUUAGCCGAUGAAUAUAAUGACUGUAGUCGGAAAAUAAGCCCCGGCUAACUUCGUGCCAGCAGCCGCAGUAA
This 449-nucleotide ribosomal RNA is filed under the name uncultured bacterium. Its description in RNAcentral is "partial 16S ribosomal RNA". It matches the Rfam family "Bacterial small subunit ribosomal RNA", at positions 29 to 523 of the family's 1533-position model. The record is from RNAcentral.